UGCCAGCCUCCGCGGUACUACUAAUUGGGCUAGCGUUGUUCGGAAUCACUGGGCGUAAAGCGUAUGUAGGCGGAUCAAAAAGUUAGAUGUGAAAUCCCUGGGCUCAACCCAGGAACUGCAUUUAAAACUAGUGAUCUAGAAAUUGGUAAGGGUUAGUAGAAUUUCCAGUGUAGAGGUGAAAUUCGUAGAUAUUGGAAAGAAUACCAGAAGCGAAGGCGACUAACUAGGCCAUUUUUGACGCUGAGAUACGAAAGCGUGGGUAGCAAACAGGAUUAGAUA
Molecule: ribosomal RNA, 279 nt
Filed under: uncultured bacterium
Lineage: Bacteria
Description: partial 16S ribosomal RNA
Rfam family: Bacterial small subunit ribosomal RNA
Source: RNAcentral